AGUGUAGGCGGCUUCGUAAGUCGGAUGUGAAAGCCCUGGGCUUAACCUGGGAAUUGCAUUCGAUACUGCGCGGCUAGAGUCUGAUAGAGGGAAGUGGAAUUCCAGGUGUAGCGGUGAAAUGCGUAGAGAUCUGGGGGAACACCAGUGGCGAAGGCGGCUUCCUGGAUCAAGACUGACGCUGAGGCUCGAAAGCGUGGGGAGCAAACA
This 207-nucleotide ribosomal RNA is filed under the name uncultured bacterium. RNAcentral describes it as "partial 16S ribosomal RNA". It matches the Rfam family "Bacterial small subunit ribosomal RNA", at positions 568 to 774 of the family's 1533-position model. The record is from RNAcentral.